This 1122-nucleotide ribosomal RNA is filed under the name Triticum aestivum (bread wheat). Its description in RNAcentral is "partial small subunit ribosomal RNA". Lineage: Eukaryota; Viridiplantae; Streptophyta; Magnoliopsida; Poales; Poaceae. The record is from RNAcentral.
AUGGCGCCGACGCCGCCGCCGCCCGCCAUGUCCAUCCCCGCGGAUUGCUCUCGCCUGCAUGAGGAAGGCCGCGCUUCAAUCCCCGACCGGUCUGCCUCUUCCCCCGAAGGCGACGGCAGGAUGGCAAUCGAGAGACUCACCGACGACCUCCUCAUCGAGAUCCUCUCGCGCGUCCCCGCCAAGUCGCUCUGCCGCUCCAAGUGCGUCUCCAACCACUGGCUCAGCCUCGUCGACCACCCAGACCACCGCAAAAAGCUUCCCCAACCUCUGGCCGGCUUCUUGUACAGCAGCACCUCCAGUGGUCGCUUCUUGGACUCACCUGUCCACUCUACAAGUCUCCCAUGGAGCCGCUGCCCUCUGAUGAUCACCUCCUUCGCCUUCCUGCCUAACCAUCGGCGCAUCGAUGUCAUGGACUGCUGCAACGGCCUCCUUCUCUGCCGCUGGUAUGGCGUCUCCGCCCAGGAUGAUCACUUCCGUUAUGUUGUGUGCAGUCCCGCCACCGAGCAGUGGGUCGACUUUCCGAACUCCGGCCGGGCAAGGGACCAGGUGGCCGUCACACGCUUGGGCUUCGAUCUGGCCCGGUCGUCGCAUUUCCAUGUGUUUGAGUUGCUGGAGCAGAAGGAGAACUGGACCACCGAGCUUGUCGGAGUGGCAGUGUAUUCAUCUGAAACUGGAGGAUGGGGCCGCUUACAUUAUGCCAAUUUUGAUCGCGACGACUACAACAAUGUGAUUCGACUAGCAGUUUAUGUUCUGGAGGACUAUGAAAGCAAAGAGUGGAAAGUAAAGCACACUGUUGAAGCUUCGGAAUUGUUUGGAGGGAUAGAUGUUUGCUAUGUUCAAGAUGACUUUGAAUGGGUUGGAAUCCAUCCGGAAUAUAACGUGAUAUUCUUUACUGUCGGUUGGCCUUCCUCUGCUUUCCCCAGCGGAACGGCGGCGGGCGAUACGCUCACCGACGAUGUCCUCAUAGAGAUCCUCUCACGGGUCCCCGCCAAGUCACUCUGCCGCUUCAAGUGCGUCUCCAGCCACUGGCUCGCCCUCAUCGACCACCCGGACCACCGCAAUAAGCUCCCCCAAACCCUGGCCGGCUUCUUCUACACCAGCAGCAAAAGCAACGUCGAAUAG